AACGAACGCUGGCGGCAUGCCUAACACAUGCAAGUCGAACGAGACCUUCGGGUCUAGUGGCGCACGGGUGCGUAACGCGUGGGAACCUGCCUUUAGGUUCGGAAUAACUCAGAGAAAUUUGAGCUAAUACCGGAUGAUGUCUUCGGACCAAAGAUUUAUCGCCUUUAGAUGGGCCCGCGUUGGAUUAGCUAGUUGGUGGGGUAAAGGCCUACCAAGGCGACGAUCCAUAGCUGGUCUGAGAGGAUGAUCAGCCACACUGGGACUGAGACACGGCCCAGACUCCUACGGGAGGCAGCAGUGGGGAAUAUUGUGCGAUGGGCGAAAGCCUGAUCCAGCAAUGCCGCGUGAGUGAUGAAGGCCUUAGGGUUGUAAAGCUCUUUUACCCGAGAUGAUAAUGACAGUAUCGGGAGAAUAAGCUCCGGCUAACUCCGUG
This 433-nucleotide ribosomal RNA is filed under the name uncultured bacterium. Its description in RNAcentral is "partial 16S ribosomal RNA". It matches the Rfam family "Bacterial small subunit ribosomal RNA", at positions 29 to 507 of the family's 1533-position model. The record is from RNAcentral.